CAGGACGUCCUCUACGGCCACUUCCGUGGAUCUAGGUUAGAGGCGGGGGGUGGUGCUGACCUUGAGAGCGCGUCGGGGAGGCGCAGGCGCAGCCCAGGUAGGUGGGCGGGCGGCGCGCAGUUGCGGCGCGUGCCAGGAUCCUGAGGUAGGCGUGUGGUCUGGGUCGGAGAGCUUCCUCGCCCUGGAGGUGGUGGAGGUGCAGGUUGGUAAGCGAGAUACCAGCUGAAGCCAGAAGGACAUCUACCAAGAGCAGAGAAACCAGGAGGAGAAUUCUGCCUAUUUAAUGCAUUCCGAAAUGGACCGUUUCCUUUUAGUUUAAAAAAUAUAUUUCAUCAUCUGGAAAAAAGUGGAACUCCUCUAUAAGUCUUAAUUUUGUGUUGUUUUUUCCGAAAUCUGUACCUGUCAACUCUCUCUGCCUUUUUAUUUGGCUAUAACAAGUUAUAGUACUGGAGGCAGGCUUGAAGUGGAUAUACACAGCACCUUUAACCCGGAAAUUAAUGUCACAACUUGGGGAUCCUUGCUUCAGUCGGUCAUGAUAGAUGAUCUGCAGUUUCAUCUAUGGGGUCUGUUUUGCCAUAGUAUCUAGUUUUAUCUUAAAGCUGGAAUUGGAAAGGGAAACUGAGAAGCUUCAGAAGAAGUUAAGAAGGUUGGGCAGGCAGGGGUGGCUGUAGGUGUUAAGUGUCACUGUCCUUAUCAAAGUACCUGGAGAGCAUGAGAUCCAAGCUAUAAAUGGUGAAAAACCGUGGGAGUCAGAGUUCUGAGCCACUCAAAGAAGCAUGCAUAGGGUAGUUGCUUUAAGUUAGAAAGGGGGCUGGAGACUGAAUGUAUGAGUUGUUUUUACUUUGAAUUGGGGGGGUGGUUAAUUGUAUGACAGAGAAGAUGUAGGAAUCAUAAGUAGUACUAACACUGGAAACAGCUAGAGAUGGGGUGGAGCUCGGAAACUGUGAAACAUCCUGCUGAGCAUGGAUCCAGAACUUCCCUGAGGGUUCCACUUCUGCUGUAUAGGGUCUAGGUUGUAAAUUAACAAGCCCCAGGGCAUCUGCAGAUGCUAAGUGUGAUAGAGAGGGAUUGGAGUUGUCUGCUGGUGUAUCUGUGGGAAACAGCUGCUAUCCUUGAGGAAGAAAAGGUGGAGAAGGAAAGUGGCUACCUGUCUGCCAGUGACAACACAUGCUGUGAAGUCUUGCUCUUCUCAUUUCUGACGCUGUGGUUCUUAGAUCCAUCCUAAACCUGACAGCCUCAUUGAGGUUCACAGAGCGUCUCCUAUGUGACAGUAAGACUGAAAUUAUUAUCAGAGUGGAAUCCAUUCCUGCCAGAGUAAAACCGUGAAAGGAAAUCAUAGUAUUCAUUAUCUGCUUAUUAUUAUUAUUACUAUUAUUAUCAUUAUUUUUGGUGAGGAAGAUUGGCCCUGAGCUAACGUCUGUUCCAGUCGUCCUCUAUUUUGUAUAUGGCAUUCCGCCACAGCACGGCUUGACCAGCAGUGUGUAGGUCCACACCCGAAACCCGUGAACCCCAGGCCGCUGAAGGAGUGUGCUAACGGAACCAUGAUGCCACCUGGCCCACCCCUCUGCUUAUUAUUUUUAAUAGAUUGUGGGCUUCUAUGUUUCUUAUUUGGUGUAUGGCAAGUUGAUAAAUGACCCUUUGUUAAUACCCUUUAGUCUUCCUAUUUCAUUGUGAAAAAUCUGUUAUAAGUAAUGUUUUUUAAAAAUUAAAAUACAUGCAAAAAUGUUUUAAGGCAGCAUCUCCCAGUCUUUUUUAUCCCACAGAAUACUUAUAAUGUUUUCUAUCGGUUACCUGCCUUGAAGUAGAGGGAUUUACCUAUUUCCAUUACUUAAAAUAGAUGAGAGUCUUUGACAGAGGUAUAAAGAAAGGGGAGAAUUAUGAAAAGGGAAAAAAGAUAUAGAUGACAGAUUAAAAAGAAAUUUGGUAGUUUUGGCAAGGGAAUUAGGAGUACAAUCUUUGAUAAAAAUCUUGGUUGCUUAGUAUUAGAGCUUUGUGAUGAGAUGCAAUGUCCUGAGUGAGAACUGUUCUCAAGUACUUAAGAACACUAACACAAAAUUACCUCCUCUUUCAACACCCACAGUGACCUGGAACAUUUUCAACCUUUGAGAACUAUCACUUUUUCAAAGUCCAGCCUCAUGGUCUUUGUAAAAUGUUUUCCUGAUUAGCUCCUCCUCUAAGAAAUUUCCAGC
This 2189-nucleotide long non-coding RNA is filed under the name Equus asinus (donkey). RNAcentral describes it as "lncRNA (ENSEASG00005031263.1)". The record is from RNAcentral. Lineage: Eukaryota; Metazoa; Chordata; Mammalia; Perissodactyla; Equidae.